AGCGAACGCUGGCGGCAGGCCUAACACAUGCAAGUCGAACGGAUCCUUCGGGAUUAGUGGCGGACGGGUGAGUAACACGUGGGAACGUGCCCUUUGGUUCGGAACAACUCAGGGAAACUUGAGCUAAUACCGGAUGUGCCCUUCGGGGGAAAGAUUUAUCGCCAUUGGAGCGGCCCGCGUCUGAUUAGCUAGUUGGUGAGGUAACGGCCCACCAAGGCGACGAUCAGUAGCUGGUCUGAGAGGAUGAACAGCCACACUGGGACUGAGACACGGCCCAGACUCCUACGGGAGGCAGCAGUGGGGAAUCUUGCGCAAUGGGCGAAAGCCUGACGCAGCCAUGCCGCGUGAAUGAUGAAGGUCUUAGGAUUGUAAAAUUCUUUCAGCGGGGACGAUAAUGACGGUACCCGCAGAAGAAGCUCCGGCUAACUUCGUG
RNAcentral lists this ribosomal RNA (433 nucleotides) under uncultured bacterium. Its description in RNAcentral is "partial 16S ribosomal RNA". It matches the Rfam family "Bacterial small subunit ribosomal RNA", at positions 29 to 507 of the family's 1533-position model. The record is from RNAcentral.